GUCUGGAGAAACACCAUUAAAAACGUGGAUUGUAGCUAAAGAAGAUGGAGAGGUUGUUACAGCACACUGUAACUGUAUGGCUGGUUUGUCAGAAUCCUGCUCACAUGUUGGAGCAGUUCUGUUUGCAAUCGAAGCAGGUGUGAAGAUGAGAGAGACUGCAUCCUGCACCACUGAGAAGUGCAAGUGGCUAAUGCCAUCACAUGUCAAAAAGAUUCCUGCUGCUCCAGUUGCGAUGAUAGACUUUUCAGCCGCAAAAUCCAAAAAGCAAAAACUGGAUGAUGCCAUUGCUGGAAGGACAGAUGAGAAGCACACAUUUCAG
This is a long non-coding RNA of Gymnodraco acuticeps, 319 nucleotides long. RefSeq lists it as uncharacterized. NCBI's taxonomy places the organism in Eukaryota, Metazoa, Chordata, Actinopteri, Perciformes, Bathydraconidae. The record is from RefSeq and is a predicted model, not a curated record. The transcript has 3 exons.